This 253-nucleotide unclassified non-coding RNA is filed under the name Hevea brasiliensis (rubber tree). Lineage: Eukaryota; Viridiplantae; Streptophyta; Magnoliopsida; Malpighiales; Euphorbiaceae. The record is from RNAcentral.
GAGAAGCCCUUCCCAGCUUACUUCGCCUCACCUUCGCCUUCUUCUUCUGUACCAACUUCUUUUCCAAAUCCUUCACCCUUCCACUAAGAUCUGAUAUCACCCCUAUCUGCUGUUUUCCAGCCUCGAUAAGAUUUUCCAACAUCACCCGCAGUUUCUCAUUUUCUUCAACCAGCUUCUUUUCUUCAGAUUUCAACACCACAGCAGAAGCAGGAGCUUUGUCUUCAGGUUGAGCAGCAGCAUCCUCUGUCAAAAU